This 465-nucleotide ribosomal RNA is filed under the name Triticum aestivum (bread wheat). Its description in RNAcentral is "partial small subunit ribosomal RNA". The record is from RNAcentral. Lineage: Eukaryota; Viridiplantae; Streptophyta; Magnoliopsida; Poales; Poaceae.
AUGGAAGCAGUUCUGUCUGCGGCUGCAGGUGAUCUUGUUAGCAGAUUUUUCUCCUUUUUGGUAAACAUGUAUCGGGAUCCUGCACGCUUGGAGGAGAAGCAUAUGGAGAGGCUGCAGCAACUCCUACUAAGAGCUCACACAGUUGUCGAGGAGGCGGACGGGCGGUACAUCACAAACUCUGGUAUGCUUAUACAACUUAAGAUGCUAGCUAGGGCUAUGUACCAGGGUUAUCAUGUGCUAGAUACCUUCAAGUGCAACCAAGUAGUCAAAGAGAGCACUGAGGAAGUGAUGGAUAGAUCAUUGGUAUCAUAUAUUGGCACUCCGUUGAAGCGCUUUCGUGCCAACGCUGGUAUAUGGAAUCACAGAGUUGACAGCAGUUGUGACCUACAAGGUGCCUUGUUAAAUUUGGAAAGUGCCAUUUCUAAUAUCACUGAGUUUGUUAUACUUUUGAGCGGAUGCGAAUGA